UUUUUCUUUUUCUUUUUCUUUUUACUUCAGCUCAUCUCAACCCUACAUACACAGAGAAAGCUGAAACUGUCAAGUUGAGGCUAUGCAUGUAAGCACUGCAGCAGAUGGAGAGCUCACACCAUCAUCCCUAUCCCCAUACUUCAGCAACAUCUCUAAACAAAUACACUAAAUCUCCUCCAAUGAAGAAAGCCCUCAAAUAUUUUGAAUGCACAGAAUUUUGUGAAAAUCUUUUUUUUUUUCUGCCCAAUCAGUAGGUGUGGCUUAAGAGGAGGACUGCCUGUCAUAAGAAAAUGUCCUAAAUGUUAACCAGAGAUAAAGUAAAUACAAAAUUAGGCUAUUUCUAUUCCAUAUUUUUAAUGACAUAUACCACGCUUUAUGGAAAAUAUACAAAAUUAUGUUAAGGCCCCUGAUUUAAUGUUAAAAGAUACUUUGCAUCUUCAUCUGUGGAUUUCCAUCAAUGCACAGAGAAUAUUAUAGACACAAUCUUUCAGACAUGUGAAGAAAUGAAAUGUAAAUCUAUCUGAACAGCUUUAGAAAAAAAUUUAUUCUGUAUUCAAAAUAACUGAGUGGGGCCAUAUAGUAGUCUACUAGUGCUAGAUAGAUGGUGCUAGAUAACAAACAACGCUAAAGUUCUCAAGAGCCAACAACAACUAGCAAUCAUUAAUCACUUACGGGCAUAAAGAUAAACUGUGGCUCAGCUAGGAUAAUCCACUUGCCUCUGAUUUGCAGUUUGGGUUCAAGUUUACUCUACACACCUCCUCAUUCUUUUUGAAACAGCUGACUAACUUGAACAUGCUCUCCUCACGCAAAUGCAAAAACAUAAGAGAGAGCAGGAACACAUGCUCUCUCUCAUAGACUUGACACUUCCACUAACACUCCAUUGGUCAAAGUGAUUCCCUUAGCUAAACCCAACACCAAGGGGAAAGGAAAUUUAUUCCAGCCAUAACUGGAAAUACUGCCAAGUCACAUGGCAGACCAGUAAUAACCCAAUUUCUCACCAUCAAAGUGUAAAUUCGUGUACGUCUAAUUAUAAGACUCAUGCACUUUACCUUGAGUCAUGCUGCCCUGAAAUAUUAUUUUGUUUUUUCACAUAUAUGUUCUCAUUUAAUCUUAACCACCUUAAUCUUAGGAAGGAGGUACCACUGACUACAUUUUACAGAUGAAGGAACUCAGUAAGGUUGAAUAACUCAGCCAAUGACAAAGAGUUAAGCAAUGGCAGAACUGAAGUUCAAAUCAGGUCUCUUUGAAUGAGUGCUCUUUAAAAUGUGAAGGAAUUCAAUGAGUUUACAGCACUUUCCAAUGUGUCCCAAAAGCCAUUCAUUGCAUGCACUAUUCAGAAAGCCUUCACCCAGCGCUUGGUGUGUGAGGGGCACCGCACAAAGCUCUAACACUACAGACAAGGCCUCAGAAUAAACAAAUCUGUGAACACAAAACCUUGGACUUGAGCUCUGUGUCCAGGUCAAGUAAAUAACAUCCUUAGUCAAUUCAAAUCACUCAUGUCUUGCUUGAUAAACAAUGAGCUAUUUUACAGCAUUACAGUAAUUCCCAGUCACACACAGCCCACCUCCUCUUAGUCACCGGUAUUUAUUUUGGCUUUACCUGCCUAGCCACUUCAAGACAUAUUAUUCCUCCAAGUAUCAAGUGUUCAUUUAUUUUUGCCCAUAAGGAUACACACAUAUAGUAUCAGGAAGGCAUUCCUGUUACAAAUUGGUACUAGUUAGCUGGCCCUUUAAGAGAUAUCUUCCCUCCUUCCCUGAGUAGGAAUUCUAGAUUUGAGCCAGCAUACUCUAUUGGUCAUAAUUUUGAUUAAAAAUCACCAGCAACAGUCUUUUGUCUGUUGUAUAUAUUUUAGAGAAAAUCCUAGCUAAAUUUAUGUAAUUCAUCUGCUGUAACUAUUGUAAUAUUCUCUGAAAAUAGCUAUCAUAAUCCUGGAGAAUGGAGAAGAGACUAGAGAUUUGGGUAUUAAUAAAGAUGUUAGACAGACGAGACAUUUUGGAUAACACUGACAAAGAAGCCAGUUUGAUGCUUACUGGAAUUAAGGAAAAAAUGUUAGAAAACAAUAAAUGCAUUCUUUUGAGAAGCAUGCAACUGAUCUGAACCAUUGUUAAUCAUUUCCAAAUGGAAUGCAUGGUAAAAAGUUCCCACGUGUGCUCUGUGAAUGUAGCACACUUCCGUUGCCAUUUUCCAUGUCCUACCAACAAAAUGGAUGCCACCCAUUGACGUAGCAUAUUUUGUUUCUCCCACACUAAUUUUCCCUUAUUUUAAAAAUUUUACUGUAAAGGGAUCUCUACCAUAUGCUUCCCUCUCAUUAAAAACAAUUUACAGAGAGCCUACUCCACACCAGUCACUCUGUUACUUAAUGGUCUCCACUUUUAAUGGAAUAAUAACUGCCUUUGAAGGCUUACAAAUUUCUAGUGAUAUCACAACAAGCAGCUAAGAAAAGUUGAUUAUUUUACGUCUGUAUAACUCAAUGUUUGAAGCUCUUAAGAGGUUAAGAGAAAGAGUACAAAUAAAAACAACAGAAAGGUAACUUUGAAUCAGACAUUUCAUAUUCAGUUUUCUAUUGUCUGCUUAGAACAUUUCAGAUCUACCAAAAUAUUGGUAGAUCUUAAUAAUACAUAAAUAUAUUACUUAUUCAUAUUAAUAAUUAAUAUAAAGAAAUUACAUUAAUUUCUUUUGAAAAGGUUAAUUUUAAGUGGUGAUUAUGCUACCUGUACUUGCAGAACUGUAAUUGCUUGCUUGUUUCCUUUUCCUCCCUCUUUCUUUCUUCAGUCACUCAUUUUUGAAAUUUAUUUACUUAUUUGCUUAUUAUAAUUUAAGUUACUAGCAUCCUUGACUGACAACAAAUAAAUGUAUGUAUUCUAAUAGCAAUGGCUAAUUUAUAAAAAAUCCAAGUAGCUUGAUUUCCCUGUGAAUAUCAUCUACUUAGUUAUUUUCCUACUAAGAUUAAAGCAUGCUAUUUUGCUACCUAAGGAAAAUGGUCUAUAGAAUGUGCUUAGAUUUUUCAAAGGAUAUGUACCACUUAAUAAAAUAAGUCAAUAAAAAUAUAUAGUUUAGCUAACAUCUGACAUUAUACCCUCCAAAUACAACAAACAUGUUCUCCAUUUUCCCAUUGAAAAGCCACUUGGAUAUGACACCCUUCCAACAGAAGCUAAUCCUAACUCUUCUUGUCAGUACCACUGGCACUUAGCAGCUAUUAAACAAAUUCUAGAGACAAUCUAAUGAAACACUUCUAUCACAGCAGGAAAAAAACAAAAAAAAACAAAACCAAAAAAUGGCUUCUAAGAUGAGUCACUCAAGGCAGAGAUGUAGAGAGAGGCUUUUACAAAGGCACCUCUUUCUGUUUCAUUCUUUAGGUUGAGUUCUGCUGAGAAGGAAAUGGAAUCGAACAGUUUUUGGCUUUAAAACCACCACAAACAUGUUUAACUGAGGCAGUGCGAUGCCAUCCCUAAAAAGGAAUAUGUUAAUAGAAAAAAAUUAAAAGCUAUAAAGUUAUCUGGCGCAUUAAGCAUCAGAGUCUCAUUAGAGAGGUGUUUAUUUCAAUUCCUCUCUUUUAAGAAGAAUAUGGGAAAACUGAAGAGGGUUCAAAGAAGAGCCCCAGAAAUGAUCAAGGAAGAGCAACGAACUGAAGGACAAAUUUUAAAAGGAGUUGAGUUUAUAUUAAUAUAUUACAACACACAAAAAUGUUGUAACUGCAUUCAAUAAGUAAUGAAUAUUCUCUAUGUACUUUUAUCUCAAGAUAGACAGAACCAAAGAGAUAAGGGUACAAUCAAAAUGACAUAAUUAUGUUAGGCAUGCAAAAGAACUGUUGGAGGAACGACAAUAAUUAAAUAUACAGUAGAAUCUGUAGAAACCUCAUCCUGGUAGAUAGAAAAGGCAAAACUGUCCCCCUUGGAGAAAGUUUAAGUAAAUGACGUCUUCACAGGAGACAGAGACAUAUACAAUUAGACUUGAGGAACCUUCCAGAUCCAGAAUUCAGACUGCCAAAUAUUUGGAUUUGACUUCUGUUGAAUAAAUCUGGAUUUCCAACUAAAAAUAAGAAGUAUGAACUUCAAUGAAUACUGGCAAGAAUAUCUUAUCUGCAUAUCUUGGGGUAAAGGGAGGGUUACUCGGUUAUCCCUUCUGGUGCAGGUCUCCCACUCCUCUCUGGGUCUGAGCAAGCUCAGAGCUCUGCCAGCACACUGGGGGUCUCUGGGCUUGCUCCAGCUGUGCUAGGAAACCUUCUUUGGCCAUGGCAUCCUGCCUCGGCUGUCUUCCAAGCUUCUAAAAAUAUUAGAAGUCUACAAAUCACAAUGCACAACUAGUAACAAUCCUUGCCACUUCUCUCCUGUUCUACCCUUCUUCUCUGUUGCCUAGGUUUUUCAAAAACUGGCCAUAGAGUUCAUCCCUAAGUUCAGGACCCAUUUAUAUAUUCCUUCAAGAAUUACUAUCUAUUUGGUGUUCUGACUUCUGAAAACCAGAUGCCUUCCUUAUCUUUUUGCAACACGAGUUUUGGAUACUCCUGAGAUCUUUCUCAUCUGGCCCUCUGCUAGACUUGCCCUUCAAUGGGAUGACAACUGGAUUGCUGGUACUUUAUGUCUCCUUAGUAUAGUGUACAUAGCUAGAGCCAUGAAUUAAUACAUCAUAUGGUCUUUUGACUUCACAGCUAUAUAUAUAUUUAUAACUCAUAAAUAAUUUUAAAUCAUGAAAAUGCCAAAAGUUUCCUAGGCCAUAUACAGAAAUUUUUAGGGUAGGAUUAACUUCAGGUGAAUGUCAUGCUUCCCAGUUCUUAGUGUGCUGAGAGAGGAGGAAACUACAAAUAUCGAGGAAGCCACUCAGCACAGCACUAAGUGUUAGCCAUAGAGGUGGAGCAGGUCCCAGAGGCUUUUGCUCUGUCAAACUAAGGGUCAAGCCUCUCCAUAGGGGCCAGGGCAAAGGUCUCAUCAGUGCAGCUCUUUACCAGCUGUGGAGUAUUUCACUAUUAGCAAUCGGUAUAGCCAUAUUCUCACUUCAGCAUAAUAUACAUGUUAAUUUUAAUUAGUAACAACAACACUGGUCAGACAGAGGCAGAGAAGUAUAAAUACAUAUAUAUUAUUUCUAGAGAAUAGCAAAAUAAAAUAGAUAAUUUCCACUAGGAGUGGUAGAGGUUUUUUAAAUGUUCAUAGGCACAUAUGUUUUGGAAACUAAAGUGAUUUGGGGUUUUAUCCCACAUAUUACUAUUUUAGUGCAAUAUUAGGCAAUACCUACUGCAAUAUUCACAACACUUACAGAAAAAAUGUAAGGAAUCAGAGGCAUGGAUAGGACCACUUCAGUUUUUGCUAACCUUCAUGGAUGAGGUUUUUGUUUUUGUUUUUGUUUUCUUCCAUGGCAUGCAGAAGUUCCUGGGCCAGGGAUCAAAACUGUACCAAAAGAGCCACCUGGGCCACUAAAGAGACAAUGCCAGAUCCUUAAGCCAUUGUGCCAGAGGGGAACUCCGUGGGUAAGUUUUAAAAUUAAAACUUAGAUUAACCAAAAAAAAAAAAAAAUUUGAGUCUGAAAAUCACUUAAUCUAAAAAUUGUAUAUGAAGAGGAUCCAGAUAAAACAUAACUAUAGGCUACAUAUAGAUUUGAAAUAAUGAAACUCCCCACAGCCCACAAAGAUUUUAAAUCCUUAUUUCAUUCUGUAAUGUAUGUUGAAACAUUAUAUAGAAUUUUAGCAAUAUAUUUUAUUUUUAUUAAUCUAUCCUGGCAUAGAAGGGCAGUAAUGUUAAAUGGAAAAGUAGGAACUACACAUUUUAUGAUAAUAAUUGGUGAAGUUUUUGCAUGUGGGUAUGUUGUAUGGAGAAACAGAGAAAAGACAGAGGUAUAGAAAAACACUGAUAGAAAUAUUGAAAUAUUUAAAACUCUGGUUAUGGGUGAAAAUUUUCCAUUUUCCACUUUUUUACAACUAAUAUAUUUUAAUAAUCGAGAUCUUUAUUCCAUACAUUUUCAAAAUUUUCUGAUUAAAUAUAAGGCAAAUUAAGAAAAUAAUUAAUUCCCCAAUUCCUCUGUUCUAUACUAAACAAAGUAAAGCAAGCAGAAUUAAUUCAACGAAUUAGUUACUUUUUUGUUAAACUUUCUAUAUUUGUACAUGUGUUUAUGUACCUGUAUACAUAAAUUAGGGAAACCUCAACUUACUUCAAAGCCAAGCAAUAAUAUAGUCCACCUAUUUUAGACCCACUUUUGAUAGAAUGACUCAGAAAGGAAAAUAAUAACCCAACUUUCCUCAGCUACAUUUAGGGGCCAGCAAGUUUGGAGUUAAAUGAGGCCAAGUUUUUUGUCUCAUAUUUGCAAAAUCCAAAAUCCCCAUACAGAAUUAUCUUGAAGAAUGCAGAAAUGUAACCAGUGUUUAGAAUUCUGACCUCAGAACAUGUGUAUGGCCUAUUUUUUUUUUUUAACCAAAGCAUUUUCUCUUGAUGUUUCAGUGGUUGGAAUUAAUUUUGGAAGCACAAGGUACAAAGUGACAAGAAUCACCUCCACUUUGGUUGUUGUUGAUGAUUGCUACAGUGUUCCGGUAAUUGGCAGUGUUUUGUAGAAUAGAAUUGAUCGCCUAAUGUGUGCUUUUGAAAUCUACUGUAUCUUUAGCCCAACAUAGAUCUAUUUGCUACUGACUAUCAGUAAGCAUCUGUUUUGCUUCAGAAGAUGAAGAUCUAGGAAUAAGAUAAGAAACGUAUUAUUGGGAAAAAAACAUCAUUGCCCCAUGAUUGGCUUAAAAUACUACAGAAAAUAAGAGGAACAGAUGAAAUAAGAAUGGCAACAUGUUGAUAGUAGCUAGAGUCAGGUCAUGAAAUAAAAUCAUUAUUCAAGAGAGUAUAGAGUGAAGUGCUAAAAUCGUUCCAUAAUCUAUAUGUUAAGAUGUCUCCAAGAGAGGGAAAUAUUUAUGAACUGGAAGGGUCAGGCUAGAAUUCACGAAGAAGAUAGGACAUGUUGGGCCUUGAAAAGAUGAUGAUGAUGAUAAUGGUUGAACUGAGCACAUACUUAUGCCAAGCACUGUGCUUUAAAUAAUUAUCUCAUUUUGUCUUCACGAUACCUUGUAAAGUAGAAAUAUGAUUAUCUUUAUUUUACCGAUAAGGAAACUGGGGUAUAAAAGAUUAAGUUACGUGCCAAGGGAGGGUAGGAUUCCAAACCUGCCAUCCUGUUUCAGAUUCCUAUGCUGAUUUCCUGUCCCGUUUCAAAUAAUGAGAUAAGUUUGGAAAAUACCAUCCAAGAUGAUUCCUAUGCACAAGCCUGCCUAGAUUUCUCAGAAUACCCUUUCCUGAUGGUCUGCACUGUUCUGUUCUCUAUCUACUUGUUGAGACCUGGUUAGUUCACCUGAGGCACUCUAAUACUAAACUUAUGUUGAGUCAUGAGUAAGAUUGCCCAGGGCUUUAGAGUUUGCCAAAGAAAAAUCUGACUGCUUAUCGGAAUAACUUAGGGAGCUUGUUAAAACUACAGAUUCACAAAUCCCCAGUUCUUGAAAUCUGCAGUUUUAAAAAAUCGUUCUCCCAUUAAUCCAGGGCUGCUAGCUUGUGGCUUAUCCAUGGAUCAGUUGAACCAAAGACCUAACUAACUCUGGUGACAAAAAUCUCUCUCAGAUCACAAUGUCUGUGAGGCCAUGCUAGUAUUCAUUUAACAAGCAAACAUUUAAUCAGACUAACUGCCAGUCAGCCACUAUGCCAAAUUCUG
This 7662-nucleotide long non-coding RNA is filed under the name Sus scrofa (pig). RNAcentral describes it as "lncRNA (ENSSSCG00035016448.1)". Lineage: Eukaryota; Metazoa; Chordata; Mammalia; Artiodactyla; Suidae. The record is from RNAcentral.